AAUGCGGGACUCUAAGAGGCCCCGUAAUUGGAAUGAGUACACCUUAAAUCGUUUAACGAGUAUCAAUUGGAGGGCAAGUCUGGUGCCAGCAGCCGCGGUAAUUCCAGCUCCAAUAGCGUAUAUUAAAGUUGCUGCAGUUAAAAAGCUCGUAGUUGGAUCUGGGGCUUGAGGUCGCUGUCUAUCGUUUCGGCGAUGACGGUGAUGCUCAGCUCUGCUUGCCGGUGACUGUUGCGGUGUUCUUCACUGAGCGCUGUAGCAGCACGGCACGUUUACUUUGAAAAAAUUAGAGUGCUCAAAGCGUGCUUGUCGCUUGAAUAAUGUUGCAUGGAAUAAUGGAAUAGGACCUCGGUUCUAUUUUGUUGGUUUUCGGAGCUUGAGGUAAUGAUUAAGAGGGACGAACGGGGGCAUUCGUAUUGCGGUGUUAGAGGUGAAAUUCUUGGAUCGCCGCAAGACGGACUACUGCGAAAGCAUUUGCCAAGAACGCUUUCAUUAAUUAAGAACGAUAGUCAGAGGUUCGAAGACGAUCAGACACCGUCCUAGUUCUGACCAUAAACGAUGCCGACCAGCGAUCCGUAGUGGUUGCUUUAUGGACCCUACGGGCAGCCUCCGGGAAACCAAAGUAUUUGGGUUCCGGGGGAAGUAUGGUUGCAAAGCUGAAACUUAAAGGAAUUGACGGAAGGGCACACCAGGAGUGGAGCCUGCGGCUUAAUUUGACCCAACACGGGAAAACUCACCCGGUCCGGACACCGUAAGGAUUGACAGACUGAUAGCUCUUUCUUGAUUCGGUGGAUGGUGGUGCAUGGCCGUUCUUAGUUGGUGGAGUGAUUUGUCUGGUUAAUUCCGAUAACGAACGAGACUCUAGCCUGCUAAGUAGUGUUGCUAUUGUUAUAUGGUUGACACUUCUUAGAGGGACAAGUGGCAUUUAGCCACGCGAAAUUGAGCAAUAACAGGUCUGUGAUGCCCUUAGAUGUCCGGGGCCGCACGCGCGCUACACUGGAGAAGUCAGCGUGUGUUAUCCAAGUCCGAAAGGACUGGGUAAUCCGUUGAACCUUCUUCGUGCUUGGGACUGUGGCUUGGAACUAUUCCACAUGAACGAGGAAUUCCUAGUAAUUGCAAGUCAUAAGCUUGCGUUGAUUACGUCCCUGCCCUUUGUACACACCGCCCGUCGCUACUACCGAUUGAAUGGUUUAGCAAGGUCCUCGGAUCGUGGCCGUAGGGGCACGCAAGUGUUUCUGCGGUUUGCGAGAAGACGACCAAACUUGAUCAUUUAGA
RNAcentral lists this ribosomal RNA (1272 nucleotides) under metagenome. RNAcentral's name for it is "SSU rRNA". It matches the Rfam family "Eukaryotic small subunit ribosomal RNA", at positions 482 to 1777 of the family's 1831-position model. The record is from RNAcentral.